GAAAUUAAAUAAAUUAUUUAUUUAAAUUAAUUUUUUUUGUUUUAAUAAAAAUAUUUUUUGGUUUAAUUAAUAUCUAAGAAAGAAUUUAUUUAUUAUAGUUAAAAGUAUUGAGAAAGAAAUUUUAUAAAUAAUUUAAAGAAAAAUUUGAUAUUUGUACCUUGUGUAUCAGGGUUGAUUUAAAAAUAAUUUAUUAUUAAAUGUUCUCGAAUUUAAAAGAGCUAAUUUUUUAUUUAUUUUAUUGUAAAAUAAAUAUUUAUAAUAAAAAAUUAGAAAUGAAACGUUAAUCGUUUUUAAAUAUAUCUAGUUUUUAAAGAAAUUAAUUUAAUUUAUUUAUUAUUAAUUAAUUAAUUAAUUUAUUAAUUAAUUAUUAACAAUAAAAAAUUUUAUUAGGGAUAAGCUUAGUAAAAAAAUUUUAAAAUAAAUUUUAUUAUAUUUUAAAUAAUUUAUAGGAUUAAAAAUUUUUAUUAAUAAAAAAUUGUUAUAAUUGAUUAUUUAUUUAAUAUAAUUUAUAUUUUAUUUAAGUUUUAUAUUUAAAUUAAAGUUAUAAUUUAUAAUAUUUAGUAAUAAUGAUUAAAUUAGUAUAUUUAAUAUUGUAUUAUAUAAAUUUUAUUUUAAGUUUAAUUUGAGGAAUUCGGCAAUUUAAAUUUUUCACCUGUUUAAUAAAAACAUGUCCUUUUGAUUAUAAUUUAAGGUCUAAUCUGCCCACUGAGUUUUAAAUGGCCGCGGUAUUUUGACCGUGCAAAGGUAGCAUAAUCAUUAGUUUCUUAAUUAGAAGCUAGAAUGAAUGAUUGGAUGAGAAAAUUUCUGUCUUAAUUUAAAUUAUAUAGAAUUUUAUUUUUAAGUUAAAAAGCUUAAAUUUUUUUAAAAGACGAGAAGACCCUAUAGAGUUUAACUUACUUAAUAAUAUUAAUAUAUAAUAAAUUUUAUUGUUUUUAAUUUUAUUUUAAGUUUAAUUGGGGUGAUUAAAAAAUUAAAUUAACUUUUUUUUCAUUAUAACAUAAAUUUAUGAAUAAUUGAUCCAUAUUUAAUGAUUAUAAGAAUAAAUUACCUUAGGGAU
This 1057-nucleotide ribosomal RNA is filed under the name Olesterus tuberculosus. Its description in RNAcentral is "partial 16S ribosomal RNA". Lineage: Eukaryota; Metazoa; Arthropoda; Insecta; Coleoptera; Cleridae. The record is from RNAcentral.